AAUGAACGCUGGCGGCGUGCUUAACACAUGCAAGUCGAACGAUGAAGCCUAGCUUGCUAGGUGGAUUAGUGGCGCACGGGUGAGUAAUAUAUAGAUAACGUGCCUCUUAGUCUGGGAUAGCCAUUGGAAACGAUGAUUAAUACUAGAUACUCCUUCUAACUCUAAUGUUAGUCGGGAAAGUUUUUCGCUAAGAGAUCGGUCUAUAUCCCAUCAGCUAGUUGGUAGUGUAAGAGACUACCAAGGCAAUGACGGGUAGCGGGUUUGAGAGGAUGAUCCGCCACACUGGUACUGAGACACGGACCAGACUCCUACGGGAGGCAGCAGUGAGGAAUAUUGCACAAUGGAGGAAACUCUGAUGCAGCAACGCCGCGUGGAGGAUGACGCAUUUCGGUGUGUAAACUCCUUUUAUAUGUCAAGAAAAUGACGGUAGCAUAUGAAUAAGCACCGGCUAACUCCGUG
RNAcentral lists this ribosomal RNA (459 nucleotides) under uncultured organism. Its description in RNAcentral is "bacterial SSU rRNA". It matches the Rfam family "Bacterial small subunit ribosomal RNA", at positions 29 to 507 of the family's 1533-position model. The record is from RNAcentral.